UACGGAGGGUGCAAGCGUUAAUCGGAAUUACUGGGCGUAAAGGGUGCGUAGGUGGUUAAGUAAGUUAUCUGUGAAAUCCCUGGGCUCAACCUGGGCAGGUCAGAUAAUACUGUUUAACUCGAGUAUGGGAGAGGGUAGUGGAAUUUCCGGUGUAGCGGCGAAAUGCGUAGAGAUCGGAAGGAACACCAGUGGCGAAGGCGGCCACCUGGCCUAAUACUGACACUGAGGCACGAAAGCGUGGGGAGCAAACGGG
This 253-nucleotide ribosomal RNA is filed under the name uncultured bacterium. RNAcentral's name for it is "partial 16S ribosomal RNA". It matches the Rfam family "Bacterial small subunit ribosomal RNA", at positions 524 to 776 of the family's 1533-position model. The record is from RNAcentral.